GAUGAACGCUAGCGGGAGGCCUAACACAUGCAAGCCGAGCGGUAGAGUUUCUUCGGAAACUUGAGAGCGGCGCACGGGUGCGUAACACGUGUGCAACCUACCUUUAUCUGGGGGAUAGCCUUUCGAAAGGAAGAUUAAUACCCCAUAAUAUAAUGAUUGGCAUCAAUUAUUAUUGAAAACUCCGGUGGAUAGAGAUGGGCACGCGCAAGAUUAGAUAGUUGGUGAGGUAACGGCUCACCAAGUCAAUGAUCUUUAGGGGUCCUGAGAGGGAGAUCCCCCACACUGGUACUGAGACUCGGACCAGACUCCUACGGGAGGCAGCAGUGAGGAAUAUUGGACAAUGGGUGAGAGCCUGAUCCAGCCAUCCCGCGUGAAGGAUGACGGUCCUAUGGAUUGUAAACUUCUUUUGUACAGGGAUAAACCUACCCUCGUGAGGGUAGCUGAAGGUACUGUACGAAUAAGCACCGGCUAACUCCGUG
RNAcentral lists this ribosomal RNA (479 nucleotides) under uncultured bacterium. RNAcentral's name for it is "partial 16S ribosomal RNA". It matches the Rfam family "Bacterial small subunit ribosomal RNA", at positions 28 to 507 of the family's 1533-position model. The record is from RNAcentral.